Small nucleolar RNA from Heterocephalus glaber (naked mole-rat), 88 nucleotides. NCBI's taxonomy places the organism in Eukaryota, Metazoa, Chordata, Mammalia, Rodentia, Bathyergidae. The record is from Ensembl.
GGCAGAUGAUGUCUUUCCUCACGAUGGUCUUCAGAAGCCUGCCAUGGGCACUGCCGAGAAAGCCAGUUGGCAUUGCUGAUGCUGGAAA